RNAcentral lists this ribosomal RNA (497 nucleotides) under uncultured bacterium. RNAcentral describes it as "partial 16S ribosomal RNA". It matches the Rfam family "Bacterial small subunit ribosomal RNA", at positions 28 to 507 of the family's 1533-position model. The record is from RNAcentral.
GAUGAACGCUGGCGGCGUGCCUAAUACAUGCAAGUCGAGCGAACGGACGAGAAGCUUGCUUCUCUGAUGUUAGCGGCGGACGGGUGAGUAACACGUGGAUAACCUACCUAUAAGACUGGGAUAACUUCGGGAAACCGGCGCUAAUCCCGGAUAAUAUUUUGAACCGCAUGGUUCAAAAGUGAAAGACGGUCUUGCUGUCACUUCUAGAUGGAUCCGCGCUGCAUUAGCUAGUUGGUAAGGUAACGGCUUACCAAGGCAACGAUGCAUAGCCGACCUGAGAGGGUGAUAGGCCACACUGGAACUGAGACACGGUCAAGACUCCUAAGGGAGGCAGCAGUAGGGAAUCUUACGCAAUGGGCGAAAGCCUGACGGAGCAACGCCGCGUGAGUGAUGAAGGUCUUCGGAUCGUAAAACUCUGUUAUUAGGGAAGAACAGAUGUGUAAGUAACUGUGCACAGCGUGACGGUACCUAAUCAGAAAGCCACGGCUAACUACGUG